CGCGUGAGGAACCUGCCUCAAAGAGGGGGACAACAGUUGGAAACGACUGCUAAUACCGCAUAAGCCCACGGAUCGGCAUCGAUCUGAGGGAAAAGGAGCAAUCCGCUUUGAGAUGGCCUCGCGUCCGAUUAGCUAGUUGGUGAGGUAACGGCCCACCAAGGCGACGAUCGGUAGCCGGACUGAGAGGUUGAACGGCCACAUUGGGACUGAGACACGGCCCAGACUCCUACGGGAGGCAGCAGUGGGGAAUAUUGCACAAUGGGGGAAACCCUGAUGCAGCGACGCCGCGUGGAGGAAGAAGGUCUUCGGAUUGUAAACUCCUGUUGUUGAGGAAGAUAAUGACGGUACUCAACAAGGAAGUGACGGCUAACUACGUGCCAGCAGCCGCGGUAAAACGUAGGUCACAAGCGUUGUCCGGAAUUACUGGGUGUAAAGGGAGCGCAGGCGGGAAGACAAGUUGGAAGUGAAAUCUAUGGGCUCAACCCAUAAACUGCUUUCAAAACUGUUUUUCUUGAGUAGUGCAGAGGUAGGCGGAAUUCCCGGUGUAGCGGUGGAAUGCGUAGAUAUCGGGAGGAACACCAGUGGCGAAGGCGGCCUACUGGGCACCAACUGACGCUGAGGCUCGAAAGUGUGGGUAGCAAACAGGAUUAGAUACCCUGGUAGUCCACACCG
This 672-nucleotide ribosomal RNA is filed under the name uncultured bacterium. RNAcentral's name for it is "bacterial SSU rRNA". It matches the Rfam family "Bacterial small subunit ribosomal RNA", at positions 114 to 802 of the family's 1533-position model. The record is from RNAcentral.